RNAcentral lists this ribosomal RNA (633 nucleotides) under uncultured bacterium. RNAcentral's name for it is "bacterial SSU rRNA". It matches the Rfam family "Bacterial small subunit ribosomal RNA", at positions 75 to 689 of the family's 1533-position model. The record is from RNAcentral.
CGGAUGUGCCCGCAGGGUGCAUGGCAGACGGGUGAGUAACGCGUGGGGAAUCUACCUCUUUGUGGGGAAUAACGCUCCGAAAGGAGUGGUAAUACCGCAUGAGAUCCAUGGCUGGAAUGUUGUGGAUGAAACCUGGGGACCUUCGGGCCUGGGGCAAGGAGAGGAUCCUGCGUCUGAUUAGCUAGUUGGUGAGGUAACGGCCCACCAAGGCAACGAUCAGUAGCCGGCCUGAGAGGGUGAUCGGCCACACUGGAACUGAGACACGGUCCAGACUCCUACGGGAGGCAGCAGUGGGGAAUUUUGCGCAAUGGGCGAAAGCCUGACGCAGCAACGCCGCGUGGGUGAUUAAGGUCUUCGGAUCGUAAAACCCUGUCGUCGGGGACGAAGGUGUGGGGGUUAAUAGCCUUUGCAUUUGACGGUACCCGGAGAGGAAGCCCCGGCUAACUCUGUGCCAGCAGCCGCGGUAAUACAGAGGGGGCAAGCGUUAUUCGGAAUUAUUGGGCGUAAAGGGCGCGUAGGCGGCUUUUUAAGUGAGAUGUGUAAUCCCCGAGCUCAACUUGGGAACUGCAUCUCAUACUGGGAGGCUAGAGUACUGGAGAGGGUGGUAGAAUUCCACGUGUAGCGGUGAAAUGC